UACGAAGGGUGCAAGCGUUACUCGGAAUUACUGGGCGUAAAGGGCUCGUAGGCGGCCAACUAAGUCAGACGUGAAAUCCCCAGGCUCAACCUGGGAACUGCGUCUGAUACUGGAUGGCUUGAAUCCGGGAGAGGGAUGCAGAAUUCCAGGUGUAGCGGUGAAAUGCGUAGAUAUCUGGAGGAAUACCGGUGGCGAAGGCGGCAUCCUGGACCAUUACUGACGCUGAGGCGCGAAAGCUAGGGGAGCAAACGGG
This 253-nucleotide ribosomal RNA is filed under the name uncultured bacterium. RNAcentral describes it as "partial 16S ribosomal RNA". It matches the Rfam family "Bacterial small subunit ribosomal RNA", at positions 524 to 776 of the family's 1533-position model. The record is from RNAcentral.